Molecule: non-coding RNA, 4679 nt
Organism: Taeniopygia guttata (zebra finch)
Lineage: Eukaryota; Metazoa; Chordata; Aves; Passeriformes; Estrildidae
Source: RefSeq, a predicted model, not a curated record
UCUCACAUACUUCAUUCCAAUCUCUUUUUUUGCCUUUUUCAGGGAAAAAUAAUCUGUCUAACCUGAAACAGAUUGCUUUGUCUGUAUGGGAACUUCUGUAGAUUUGAUUAACACUACACUGUCAAGUCUUUGGGGUCAGGGCAGAUUGUAUUAGAAGCAUGACAAGUAGUUAAUGAAUUUGCAUUGACUAAUCCAUACAAAGCUAAAGAUUUUUCUGUCAAGAUUAAUGUCCAAAAAGAGUAGGACACACUAUUUGAUACAUUAUCUUACACUGAAUCAUACUGUUAUUGGACAUAAGAUUAAGGAACUAUGUUAUUUUGUCUUAUUGCAUAGCUAUACAACUGGGUUUAGCUAUGACACUGAUGUAUAGUCAUUGCUUUAAGAAUUCAUUUAAUCACCAGUAAUGUCCUGCUGUAACUCCUCUGUAUAUGAUGUGUGUACUGGCAAUAACAGGGUCAGUUCCCGCUCGUGCAAAAUUCCCUUUCCAACUGUCCCUGCUGUGUAGCCUUUCCAAAUGCAGCUUGGACUCAGAGAUGCUUGGUCCAAAUUGUGAUCCAUGCCUUCAGUGUCAACUAAAGUGUCCAAAGACCUGGUGAUCAAACACUUUAAGCUUUCAGAUGCUGUCUAGAUGUAAUGUGAUUAAAAGAUUUGCUGUUCUUUAAAAUUCCAAUGGUUUAACUGAAAUGUAUACUCAGUGAUUCUGUGUAAUCUCAAGAGGCAGAAUUUGGUGAAAAGAACUCAUGGAGUUCUUUUUCCAGAGAACUUAGGCAUGCUAUUCUUGUCAAAAUGGUAGGAAUAAAUAGGUGAAACUCUAGGCCUUGAAGAAGGAAAAAGGAUUAAGAAAGAUGUCUCAUCAAAAUUCCAGAACCUGUGCAAAAUAAGCAAGAGAAUAAAUGUAGCAUCCUUCCUAUAGGGGGGUGUCCAUUUAAAUACUGAAUUAGAAAUUACAGUCCACAGUAACAGUAAUGAAUGCAGGUAAAGUGCACCAGAGGAGAGAAAUAUUACAAAAUAUUCUCCUUGUGCAAUUUUUUAAGGUGAUGAUUUUUUUUUAGGAAUAAACCAUAUAGAAGAUUAUUUAAAGAAAAAGUAUUGCAAAUUCCAAGUUGACAUCUUUGGUAUAUUCAGUUGUCUGUAUUAUAUAUAGGAAGGUCUAUGUAAACAAAGCCAAAUUCCUAAACAAAUAAAUUAAAAUUAUUACUGUGUUCAAAUUAAAUAUCAAGGUAAAAUAUAUUUCUUAGCAAGGAAAGAGGUCAUUUGGCUAUUUUCUUUUUGGUUAGAUAUAGAAGAUAAUACUUUGAUCAUUCUUUAAGAAUAUGUCUUAAGGAAGAACAUGGAAGAACAUCAAUUAUAUUGAUUACAGGAUAUCUUAAUAUUUGGAAUGAAGAUGCUGGAUUUAUAGCAGCUUAAAUGGAAAAGGUAGUUCAGUAAAUGGUCCAAAAGAAUAGCAUAUUAGGAUUUACUAGGGAAAGAUUAGAAAGCAAACUGAGAAAUUAUAACACAGCUUUGCAAAUCCCAUUUAUACCUGCAACAUUAGCACUGGGUGGAGCACCAAUUUUUUCAAUUGAAAACAGGAUGAAGUAGAAAUUAGGAAAAAAAAGAAUCAUGCUCAACAUGGAUGAUGUAAGGGAUGGAACCAUUUCCAUGUGAGCUAAUAAUUAACCAAGUGGGAAUUUUCAAUCUGUAAUGAGAGAAAUUAAAAGAUGUGCAGAGAGAAGAAUGUAAAAAAAGCUUGUUGUUCCAGAUACAGAAAGAUGAGUAGUUAUCCACUGUCUAUACCAACCUUAAACUAAAAUUGCAUCAAGUAAUGGGUAAACAAAAAUUGUUUCUAUUCACAAAGAAAAUCUAAGCUGUUAAACUUCUUUGCCACAGGGCAUUGUGACUGCUUACACUAUAUAUGCUUUUUAAAAACUACUUGAUAGAAAGAAAUAAAAGUUCUCUAAAUUCUAUAGAGUCCAAAGAUGAUGCCUCUAGAUCAGGGAUUUUUUGGCAGUUGUAUGAGUGUAAUGGAAGAUGUUUAUGUUUUUUGGAGUAUUUUGUGAGAACUGGUAGUGGACAUCUAAAAAGUAGGUUCAGACAAUAUGAAAAGGUAUCUGUAAUUAUAUCUUCUUCUUCUGUCUUGUUUCCCCCUUUUAGGAAAUGUCUCCAUCUUUAUUCAGAUAUUUAAGUUGCUCUUUGGGAAAUAUUUUUUUUGUUUGAAGUCCAAGUCUAGUUCACUGCAAUAUAAAUUCAUUUCACAGGAAAUGCUUAACAUCUAAAAAGCUUCAGUGAGCUCCAUGCUGCUUAAUGGUAUCCGGAAGAAUGAUAUGAAAAUAUAAGGGCUAAAAAUUAGUUGAUGAAAAAUAUUGGCCUAUAAGAUAAGAACUAUGGAAGGUUGUAAAUUAAUAUUUAGGGCAAAUACUUCAAAAAUGGAGAGUGCUAAAUAUGAUUUACCUUGCUAGCAAAGCUGUUGGCUGUGUGGAUUACAUUCAUCAUUAUCACUUAUUAUAGCCACCUCAAGAUGAAUGGCACAGGCUGACACCGGCCAUUUGGUUCCUGAGGUGAAUAUGACCAUAGACUUCUCGUAAAUAGUGCUAAUUUCUGUCUCCAGCCUUCUUGGUUUUGAUCAGCUCUCUGGUGUAAAUACCGGUUUCCUACUUCUGUACCACUUGAUACAUCCCAGUGCUUUUAAGUAUUGUACUUAAGUGCUUUCACAGCUGCUGCAGCUUUUAUAUCUGCGUACACAUCUCUGUAACUUGGAUAAAUCAAAUGGCAACUAUGUCUCCAGAGUGAACUUGACUGCUUCCAUCACUCAAGAGUGUACUUACACUUUCUUAUAUGCAUGUACUCCGUUUCUCUGGGCUGUUCAUCCAUGUCAAAUGUUGUCUCUCUUUAUAUUGUCUAAAUUUCAGUGCAGGGGUUUUUGUUGUUUUACUCAAUUUCAUGUUUACUUCAUGAAAUCACUGUUUAUGAACCUGUUCCUUCCUCUCAGAUACUAUCGCUAUUUAGCCCCACAGACUGCCCACACAGGGGCAGAUGGCUGUGGAUAUUUUAAAUUCUUAUUUUGGCUUAUUUAAAUGGAGGGAGGCAACGCAACACUUCUCAAAACUGCAUUUGUUCUCCGGUUCCAGUCGCUGCAGCCACAUGUUAGCUGACUCAUCAGUAUGAGCCAUGACAAAACUGUAGCAAUGCAGAGUGCUAUCAGCUCGUCAGUAAAUAAAGCCUGUCCUUCAUAAGUCUUGUGGCUUUGCAGGUUGCUUUGUCGUUAGAAAAAAGCACCCUUAUUAAGAAGCUACUGUGGUGCUGAAACAGACCACAUCAGAGUAGGGGAAUCUACUGGAAGUCUUUUAGCAAUUACCUUGACAAAGAUACAGCUAUCAUUUGCCAUGGUCUCCUUUGCAAAGAAGCAUGGGCAGUUCUUACCAUGGAAACUGGGGAAUUCAUCAAUACAAAAAUACUAGAAACUAGUAUUUUUGUGUUGAUCCCUAAAAUCUUUCUUUGUUGUAUUCCCUUACUAGUUUUGUUGUGUCAGAUUUGCACCACAGAGGUUUAGGUCUGUUGUAAAAUGGAGGAAAGCACAAAGAGGUCAUAACAUGUAAGGUGUGACAAAAUGAUUCACACUGCAGUUUCUGUGUUUCAGGGUUCUCACCAUGCUGGGUGCUUGCAUUGUAACCCUCUGGGGAGCUGUGCAUCAGUGUGCAAGGACAACAUGUGCAAAGAGGCAUGCAGGAAAGGAACCUUUAAAAGGUUUCCUUGGUUUCCUUCCUUUAAAAGCAUGGGCAUUUAAAUAAUUUGAUAAUUUUCAUAACCUGCUUGGACUUGAUUCUCUAAUAUACUGUUUUUCAAGAAGCAGUUCAUUAGUGUGGGUGACUGCAUGGUAGCCCAACCUGAAAACUUUCCAGGUUUCCUAAAUUCCAAUGUCUUGCACAUGUUUAUUAUAACUUCAUAGUAACUAUGUCCAUAUACAGAAUGAUGAAAGGGUGUUUUUUUUUUCAUUUUUUGGCUAGAAUAUUGCUGAAGAAGUAAUGAAGCUUGUGUAUUAUGAAAAGACAGAACAGGGAUUAUGUGCAGUGGGGGGAUAGGAAAUUAAUUUUACAUCACCCUUCAGUCUAUCAGAAGGAAAAGGUAUCUCUGAAACUUUCUUUUCCUCAGUGGGAAAGUAAUAUGUAUGUGAAAAUCAUGGGUUUUCUUGGCUUCUGGUGUCAUCAGAGUUAUCUUUGAAGUAAAGGAACAGUCCUGCUUCCAUUAAUUCCAAAUAUUAAACAACUAUUAUACUGAGUUUCAAAAAUGCUUUGCAGUCAAGCUGUUCACCUGGAGUGAAGGGCUACCUAUUUCAGCCUGCACACAUGGAUUAUACAUCCUACUUGUAAAGUCUUUGAUCCAUGAUAAAACCAACUUUUGUUGAUCUGUUUUGCACUGUAUCUUACAAUGAAUGCUUUUUGAUAUCUGUAUUUUAUUUUGUCUGAUGUUUAAAAACAGAGUUUACUGGAUAACACUUGAAUGAAUGAACUGAAAAAUGAACAGAUAUGUUUAAAGCUUCUCAAGAGUCAGUGGUUUCAAAUGCAGUAAAAUAUUUUACAAGUUGUUACUGUGGUUUGAUUUCCAAGUCGGUGCGGAGAACCUAAGAAGACAAGGAUGUUGGAAAGAGGAGUUUCUUCUUCCAACAGGAAAAGAAAGUGGAAACUGAAUAAAGUUGUAAAGAA